GAUGAACGCUGGCGGCGUGCCUAAUACAUGCAAGUAGAACGCUGAAGGAAGGAGCUUGCUCUUUCCGGAUGAGUUGCGAACGGGUGAGUAACGCGUAGGUAACCUGCCUGGUAGCGGGGGAUAACUAUUGGAAACGAUAGCUAAUACCGCAUAACAGUAGAUGUUGCAUGAUAUCUACUUAAAAGGUGCAAUUGCACCACUACCAGAUGGACCUGCGUUGUAUUAGCUAGUUGGUGAGGUAACGGCUCACCAAGGCGACGAUACAUAGCCGACCUGAGAGGGUGGUCGGCCACACUGGGACUGAGACACGGCCCAGACUCCUACGGGAGGCAGCAGUAGGGAAUCUUCGGCAAUGGACGGAAGUCUGACCGAGCAACGCCUCGUGAGUGAAGAAGGUUUUCGGAUCGUAAAGCUCUGUUGUAAGAGAAGAACGAGUGUGAGAGUGGAAAGUUCACACUGUGACGGUAUCUUACCAGAAAGGGACGGCUAACUACGUG
Molecule: ribosomal RNA, 497 nt
Filed under: uncultured bacterium
Lineage: Bacteria
Description: partial 16S ribosomal RNA
Rfam family: Bacterial small subunit ribosomal RNA
Source: RNAcentral